Molecule: transfer RNA, 82 nt
Filed under: Apaloderma vittatum (bar-tailed trogon)
Lineage: Eukaryota; Metazoa; Chordata; Aves; Trogoniformes; Trogonidae
Rfam family: tRNA
About the family: Transfer RNA (tRNA) molecules are approximately 80 nucleotides in length. Their secondary structure includes four short double-helical elements and three loops (D, anti-codon, and T loops).
Source: Rfam by way of RNAcentral
GGCCAGUUAGCUCAGUGGUUUGAGCACGGUGCUGACAACAACGUCAACACCGAGAUCGCGGGUUCGAUUCCCGCUCAGCCCC